Molecule: long non-coding RNA, 4149 nt
Filed under: Solanum lycopersicum (tomato)
Lineage: Eukaryota; Viridiplantae; Streptophyta; Magnoliopsida; Solanales; Solanaceae
Description: partial TCONS_00049873
Source: RNAcentral
AUUUGGGUCGUUUUCGACGAGAGUUCGGAGUUUAAAGGGUAUAAAAUAUUAACAAAAAAUAUAUAAAAGUUUAUAUUAACCAAAAUGGAAAAAUACACUGGAGCAACAGCGAUUUCCUCCGCCUGAAAAAGCAAAAUCGCUGCCUAGGCAGUUUGAAUUUUUCAUUUUUUUAAAAAAAAUGAAUCGUAAAAAAAAUUAUUUUUUUUUAAAAAAGCAGCGAUUUCCUUGAAAAAGAAACACUGCAAAUCGUUGUUGUUUCAGCGAUUUUACCAUUUUAGUUAACAUAAAAUCUUAAAUAUCGUUUUGAAAUUUUUGUUAAUAUUUUAUAUCCUUUAGGCUCCAGACUCUUUUCAAUGACGUAGAUAUAUAGUGACUAGUGAGUUUGAUUUGAAAGAUAUAGUAGACCAAAAUAAUAUGUUAUAAUUUCCUAAAACCCCUCGAGCCAUGGGAUUUCAUAAUUCUAAUGUGCCACUACCGCUAUGCUGUCAUUAACUAUUCGCGUAUUAGUAAAUGUAUGAUUAGUUAUUUAUUUUUUAUUUUGUAUAAAUCUAAUACUUAAAUUAACUCAUUAUUUCAGAAGUUUUUAUGUUUAAUUGUAAAUUAGUAUUAAAUAUUACAUUCGAUAUGUUGAAUUUUAUACGUGUCAAUUAAAAUGCUACUUACGUUGAUUUUAAAUCAUGAACAAUUUACUUCUGUAACUAGUAAUCAAAACAGUCCUCGAAGUGUCUAUGAAAAGUUUGCAGUAACAUAGAAAGUUAGUUUAAUCAAUGGUGGAGUUUUGGAGCUUCACUUGGAGAUUCAAAAUAUGGAAAAAAGAUAAUUAAAGUACAUGAAUAAAUUUUUGGAUAAUAAAAUUAAUCUUAUUUAUAUAAUGAUUGUUUUUUCUGAUGUAAAGAUUCAAAUGAAAUCGUUGUAAUUCAAAUUUUUUUUCCAGUAUUUGACUAUAAGAUUAAUGAACAAUCUUUUGAUCUAUGUGUCGCUCCAUAUUCAGUCAUGUCUAAUUAGAAGUUUCAAAAUGUAUUUUGACUAGUAGGGUUAAUGAAUGAUCCUUUGAUCUACGUGUCGCUCCAAAUUCAGUCAUGUCUGAUUAGAAGUUUCGAAAUGAACGGAGUUAGGGGGGAAAAGGGUAGUGAGGCUUAGAUUGUGCUUUAGUUAAGCCUACAAAAGAAGAAAACCAAAAAUAGAUUGUUUCUCUUGUCAUCAUAUCAACUUAAUUAUUACUUUCAUGUUCACACCUCUUAAUUAUCAUAAUAAAGAUAUUAAUAAAGUUUAUAAUUCCCUGUAUUUAGACCAACAAGAGAUAGAGAUGCUUGACUUGGAGACUUGGAAAAAUGGAUUGAAGUAUACAUUUAAAAGGAAUAAUUUAUGCUUAACUUGGUUAAAGUAAUAAACUUCUUAUGUAUAAUUACCUACAUGUAGGCCAGACUAUAUUUUUAAGGCACUCAUUGUCAGCUGUAUUUGACUUGCUCACUAAUUUUUUGACUUCCAUUCUCCAACAAUUUUCUCACACACACCCCACCCCCACCCCCACCCACACCCACGUACACAUACAUAUAUAAUCAUGGAAAGAUUUUAAAAUUAACUUUGCAUAAUUGACAUGCAUGGUACAUGGUGGUUAAUUUUAGAGAUAAUACAAUACUUAAGCAAAUAAAUAUGAUAGUUAGAUGCUAAACAUAAUUAGGCUAUCAUUGUGACUAUAUAUAGCAUUUGAUUUCUCCUUUCUUGAAGCCAAGGGAACAUCAAUAAUCAUGACAUAGUGUUACCAAUUCACCAUGCAAGUUCAUCAUUGAAUAUCAACCUUUUUUGUUUUUGUCCUCUUUAAACUAAAGUAAGAUUAAUGGAAAAAAAGGGGUACAUUUUCAUAACACUCAUGACUUUCUAACUUUUUUUUUUCCAUAGUUAAUUUAUGUUUUUAUUUAUUGAGAGAUUCAAUUAUUUCAAAUUUAUUCGCAUGUGAUCUAAUAAAGUGGAAGUGCUCUUAAUUAUCAAGAUUUUUUUACUAUUAGAUUCAAAUCGAGAUCGAUCUCUAAUUAAAAAUGAAAUGAGUAUAUUCACCCUCACUACAAUUAAUGAUAAUCUUGAACUAGCAUAUAAUUUUUGUGUAGUUUAUAGUUGGUGAUAUAAUUUUUUCUUAUUCGGUGUCCGAUCUCUAAAUUGGAAUCAUAUUAAAUCAGGAUUUGUGCUGGAAAGAUAAAAACAAUUCGAUACAUAUGAAAACUUGAGUUCAAAAUCUUUGAUUAAGGAUGAAGGGAUACUUACAACUCCAUUACCAUUGUAAUUGGUAGUGAUAAUUCUUGUUGGGGUGCAAUUCAAGUAUAAUAGGACAAGCAUGACUCAUAUUUUACAACUUAAAUAAGUAGUACUACACAACUAGUAAAUUAUGAGUCACUUGCUUGAAAACUUUGGAGACAAACGCCAUUGGUCAAAAUGAUGUGGAAAAGGCAUUUACAGAGAACCAUUUUUUUAUAUACUUUCAACACCAACUUUAUAUCAUAAGGACCAUCUUGUUGUUGAAACUUUAAAAGCAAGGUUUCAAAAAAAGAAAAAAAGUUGAAACGUCAAAAAAUGUUUAAGUUUUAUCAUGCAAAUAUGCAAUUAUUAAAGUCACGAGCCUUGGAAUUUAGUUUAUUUUAUACUGUACAUUGUACAAUAAUGCUUGGCCUACUAGUUAGAAAUUUUUCUUCAAGGAAAUAAUAUAAGUAGUUUGCACAAAUUUUGUAAAUCUUUUCUUUCUUGUUUAUAACGUGGGAUGUUAGAAUUGAUUUUCUUUUAAUUAUUAACUUUUUUCUUUUUUAAAAACUCCUCUUAGGAGCUUGUUAUUUUGCUUUCACUCGAAUUCACAAUCUCAAAAUUGGAAGUAGAGGGUGUCUAUCUGUUGAGCAACCCUUUCUUGUCGAUCAAGCAAUUGAUUAUUCUUUUAAAAAUCUUCCUAGGUGCAUUUCCUUUCUCUCUUCGUGACUCAAAUUUAAAAUUGGAGGAUGGGGUGUGCUUAUCACUUGAGCAACCCUCUCUUUUUCGUUAUUGACUGAGCAAAUUAAUUACUCAAUUUUCAAAUAUAUCUACUUUUAAGGACUGCUAUUUAAAAUAUAGCCAGCAUUUGCAAAACUCCAAUUCAAAGAGUGGAACCCUCUCUUUGUUGUUGACUGAGCAAAUUAAUUACUCAAUUUUCAAAAAUAUCUACUUUUAAGGACUGCUAUUUAAAAUAUAGCCAGCAUUUGCAAAACUCCAAUUUGAAGAGUGGAACUAAGAUACAUUUGCAAAUUAAGCCAAUUUUUUUUCCACCUAAACUCUAGCCUUACUGUCCAUAUAAAUUUGCAAAAUGAUGAUGAAUUGUUUUUAACAAAAUAGCUGAUUCAAACACUUCGAAAUAUACAUUUAUCUGCAAUUAAUGACUAAUGUCAUCUCUCAAGCACCACUUUAUUGAAUCCACCCACUUUAGAAUUAUGAAUUCUUCAAAAUUAAAAUAAUUUGUAUAAAAUAAUUUGCAUUAAUAUUUUAACGGUUUUGCAUAUCUGUCUAGUGAUGAAUUAUUUUAUGCGCAAAAAAUACGUUUGGAGACUCUUUAGGACCAAUCGCAACCUAUAAUCUUGAUAAUUGUGAUUUUUUUUAUUAUUAUUGUUAGUAUCAAAGUUUAUCUAUAUGACUAUAUCUCAUGCAUUAAUCACGCUUAUUCUUAUAAAAAAAAAUUGUCUAUGAAUUUUAAAAUCCCCCUCUAUCUAUCUAUCUAUCUUAUUGUUUUUUCUCUCUUUUCUUUUUUCCUAUCAUUUUGUUUUCUUUCUUUGCAAUUUUAGAAAUUUUGUUCCCUCAAAAAAUUACCAACUAAUUGUUAAGAGUCCCUCUUUGGUUUUUCAUUCCCAAUUUAUCAAGAAAUAGGUAAUAAGAAUAACAGUGCAUUUUGAGGAAUAUUCAGAUGGAGGCAGAAGUGCAAACUGCAUAAUAGGGUGCUGCAUUUGUGAGGUCAAGGUUUCAAAGGGUCUCUUCUUCUGAUAAGUUUUUCUAGUGAUACUCUAGCUCAAAAUGGGUGAGAUGGUUGUUGGCAUACCUGCACAUCUGGAGAGAAUUGAGCGUGAUGCUCGCUUUUUGAGAAGGAACUCAACUGGCAGCUUUGGCUUUCAAAUUGAUAAAUCCAAGGUCUUGUCACGUUACCUG